UGCUGUGAGCUCGAUGAGUAGGGCGGGACACGUGGUAUCCUGUCUGAAUAUGGGGGGACCAUCCUCCAAGGCUAAAUACUCCUGACUGACCGAUAGUGAACCAGUACCGUGAGGGAAAGGCGAAAAGAACCCCGGCGAGGGGAGUGAAAAAGAACCUGAAACCGUGUACGUACAAGCAGUGGGAGCACCUUCGGGUGUGACUGCGUACCUUUUGUAUAAUGGGUCAGCGACUUAUAUUCUGUAGCAAGGUUAACCGUAUAGGGGAGCCGGAGGGAAACCGAGUCUUAAUUGGGCGUUAAGUUGCAGGGUAUAGACCCGAAACCCGGUGAUCUAGCCAUGGGCAGGUUGAAGGUUGGGUAACACUAACUGGAGGACCGAACCGACUAAUGUUGAAAAAUUAGCGGAUGACCUGUGGCUGGGGGUGAAAGGCCAAUCAAACCGGGAGAUAGCUGGUUCUCCCCGAAAGCUAUUUAGGUAGCGCCUCGUGAAUUCAUCUCCGGGGGUAGAGCACUGUUUCGGCUAGGGGGCCAUCCCGGCUUACCAACCCGAUGCAAACUGCGAAUACCGGAGAAUGUUAUCACGGGAGACACACGGCGGGUGCUAACGUCCGUCGUGAAGAGGGAAACAACCCAGACCGCCAGCUAAGGUCCCAAAGUCAUGGUUAAGUGGGAAACGAUGUGGGAAGGCCCAGACAGCCAGGAUGUUGGCUUAGAAGCAGCCAUCAUUUAAAGAAAGCGUAAUAGCUCACUGGUCGAGUCGGCCUGCGCGGAAGAUGUAACGGGGCUAAACCAU
Molecule: ribosomal RNA, 792 nt
Filed under: Salmonella enterica subsp. enterica
Lineage: Bacteria; Pseudomonadati; Pseudomonadota; Gammaproteobacteria; Enterobacterales; Enterobacteriaceae
Description: partial 23S ribosomal RNA
Rfam family: Bacterial large subunit ribosomal RNA
Source: RNAcentral